CCUCGCGGUCGGGCAGCCGCUCCGGUUCAUCUUCACGAUGAGCGGGGGAGGAAAGUCCGGUCUCCAUAGGGCAGCAUGCCGGCUAACGGCCGGGGGGACUCGCUCAAAGCGGGUUUUACGGAAAGUGCCACAGAAAAUAUACCGCCAGUUCCUGCAAGGGAGCCGGUAAGGGUGAAAAGGUGCGGUAAGAGCGCACCGCGGCUGCGGUAACGCACGCCGGCAGGGCAAACCCCAUGUGGAGCAAGACCAAAUAGGGGAGGAGGAGCGGCCCGCUCCGUUACGACUUCCGGGUAGGUCGCUAGAGCUGGGGAGUAAUCUCCGGCCCAGAGGAAUGGUUGCCGCCCGUGGCGCAAGUUGCGGGUACAGAAACCGGCUUACAGUCCGCGAGGCCUU
RNAcentral lists this RNase P RNA (393 nucleotides) under Terriglobia bacterium. RNAcentral describes it as "RNase P RNA component class A". It matches the Rfam family "Bacterial RNase P class A". Rfam says of the family: Ribonuclease P (RNase P) is a ubiquitous endoribonuclease, found in archaea, bacteria and eukarya as well as chloroplasts and mitochondria. Its best characterised activity is the generation of mature 5'-ends of tRNAs by cleaving the 5'-leader elements of precursor-tRNAs. Cellular RNase Ps are ribonucleoproteins. The record is from RNAcentral. Lineage: Bacteria; Pseudomonadati; Acidobacteriota; Terriglobia.